This 87-nucleotide transfer RNA is filed under the name Pseudomonadota bacterium. Its description in RNAcentral is "tRNA-Leu". It matches the Rfam family "tRNA". From Rfam's summary of the family: Transfer RNA (tRNA) molecules are approximately 80 nucleotides in length. Their secondary structure includes four short double-helical elements and three loops (D, anti-codon, and T loops). Further hydrogen bonds mediate the characteristic L-shaped molecular structure. tRNAs have two regions of fundamental functional importance: the anti-codon, which is responsible for specific mRNA codon recognition, and the 3' end, to which the tRNAs corresponding amino acid is attached (by aminoacyl-tRNA synthetases). tRNAs cope with the degeneracy of the genetic code in two manners: having more than one tRNA (with a specific anti-codon) for a particular amino acid; and 'wobble' base-pairing, i.e. permitting non-standard base-pairing at the 3rd anti-codon position. RNAcentral also lists the same sequence under 1 other name. Lineage: Bacteria; Pseudomonadati; Pseudomonadota. The record is from RNAcentral.
GCGGGUGUGGCGGAACUGGUAGACGCGCCAGAUUCAAAAUCUGGUUCUGGUAACAGAGUGGGAGUUCAAGUCUCCCCACCCGCACCA